GUUGCUGUAUAUGGCAGGCAGCUGCCAUUCAGAAGCAAAUGUUUGUUGAACUUUAUGUUCUUGCAUGUCUUUGUGAGGUUUCAUAUUUAACAAAAUUUAAUUGGAUAAUUAAUUAAUCAUUAUUUUUAAAUCAGAGACCAUGUUCAAGUUGCUACCCUGUUAUCAACUUGCAACAUUAUCAACCGGAAUAUUUUUAGUAAGCCGCAUCCUGUACUUGAUGCGCCAAAUAAGUAAGGAAAACCUUUGCAUGACCUAAGAACCAUGUUUUGGAAUUCGUACAGCUUGAUUCAUUUUGCAGAACUAUGUUAGUGUUUUUUCUCAAAAACAGACAAAUAUAUCUUAAAUGAAAGAAUACAACCUUGCAAUUGCAAAUUUUCCAUUGUAGCAAAGCUGAGUUCAAAAGCUAGCUGUGAUCAAUGAGUAGACUUACUAGCUGGUGAGUUUACAAUACAAAAGUUUGAAUACAUUAUGAAGGUGUUUGGUUCGCGGAUUUGUAACGGAACCCGAUUACGGUGGGACCCGAUUACAUUAGUUUUUAUUUGGUUAGCAUCGGCCGUAAUGAGAUCCCGUGGAAUCGGAUGACACUCCUAUUCAAAUCUGUUUACACCCAUCUUGGUCAGUGAUCUGUUUCCACUAGCAGCCCGAUUCGUCGCAACCCAUUUCUCUCGCGCGCAGCCGGCGCCACACGACCUCGUCGGCGACGACUCUCCUCAAGACACCUUCCACCACGGACCUCACCAAGCUCACGACCAUCUUUCUCUCUCCGGUUGCUACUUCUACUGCACGUCAACACGAGAGACAACGACGGAGCGGACGAGAUUCUAAAUUAUCAUUUUGUAAUAUAUCGUUAACAACAUGUCUCUCAGUUUGAGAGAAUAGUGGAAGUUAUGCAUAGUUAUUUUUUAAAAAUUUAUUAUAUAAAAUAAUUAAUUACCAUAUAUUUAUAUUAAACUUUUUUAAUUAGUUAUAUAUCGCUAAAAUAUGACAUACUUGGUUUUAAAUUGAUAAUACAUUUUUAUACAAAAAUCAUUUUUCUAUUGUGUAGCUCCAUUAGUCAUAUAAAUUUGUUGGCAAUAUUAGAACUAUAAGCCUAUUGCCAUACACCACACAUGCUUGGUUGUUAGUAGAACUAUAUAAUAUGUAAAACUAUGUUACCUUUUCAAUUUUUUGUUCGUGAGAUUUUGUUGAACUUACUUUCAUUAUAAAUUAAAGAAGACCCAAAUAGAUGAAAACAUCACAUCCAUAUGCAAAAUAAUUUGUACUUACUUGUAUUAUAAUGUGUCUAUAUUUAUUUUGAUAUAUGUAAACGAUUUAAUGGGUGG
RNAcentral lists this long non-coding RNA (1322 nucleotides) under Hordeum vulgare. RNAcentral's name for it is "long non-coding RNA (HVUL_LNC002742)". The record is from RNAcentral. Lineage: Eukaryota; Viridiplantae; Streptophyta; Magnoliopsida; Poales; Poaceae.